CACGUAGGGGGCUAGCGUUGUCCGGAUUUAUUGGGCGUAAAGAGCGUGUAGGCGGCCAUGUAGGUCCGGUGUGAAAACUCGAGGCUUAACCUCGAGAUGUCAUCGGAAACCAUUUGGCUAGAGUCCGGAAGAGGAGAGUGGAAUUCCUGGUGUAGCGGUGAAAUGCGCAGAUAUCAGGAAGAACACCAAUGGCGAAAGCAGCUCUCUGGGACGGUACUGACGCUGAGACGCGAAAGCGUGGGGAGCGAACAGG
Molecule: ribosomal RNA, 253 nt
Filed under: uncultured bacterium
Lineage: Bacteria
Description: partial 16S ribosomal RNA
Rfam family: Bacterial small subunit ribosomal RNA
Source: RNAcentral